UCAUCUCUAUCUUUGAAGUCAUGUUUAAAAUGAAAAAAAAUAACUGGUGGUGGAAUAACUUACGUCAAACUUCGUGAGCUAAACUGCUAUUUUCAAUAUAGAAAUUAAAAAGGCUUGUU
RNAcentral lists this non-coding RNA (119 nucleotides) under Christiangramia forsetii KT0803. RNAcentral describes it as "Bacteroidete tryptophan peptide leader RNA". It matches the Rfam family "Bacteroidete tryptophan peptide leader RNA". Lineage: Bacteria; Pseudomonadati; Bacteroidota; Flavobacteriia; Flavobacteriales; Flavobacteriaceae. The record is from RNAcentral.